GGGGUUCUGAGAGGAUGAUCCCCCACACUGGCACUGACAUACGGGCCAGACUCCUACGGGAGGCAGCAGUAAGGAAUAUUGGGCAAUGGAGGCAACUCUGACCCAGCCAUGCCGCGUGAAGGAUGAAGGCUUUCUGAGUCGUAAACUUCUUUUAUACGGGAAGAAAACGCCCUGCGGGGUUUAUUGACGGUACCGUAUGAAUAAGCACCGG
Molecule: ribosomal RNA, 211 nt
Filed under: uncultured Sphingobacteriales bacterium
Lineage: Bacteria; Pseudomonadati; Bacteroidota; Sphingobacteriia; Sphingobacteriales
Description: partial 16S ribosomal RNA
Rfam family: Bacterial small subunit ribosomal RNA
Source: RNAcentral